CAGAAAAAAGUCCAGUUGACAUGAUGAGAUAAAUGACUCAGCAUGGAUGUUUUUGCUUACAUGUGAAUGAUUAUAUCACUGACUAACUCUUCUUUUCUUCUGGUUUGGACCUGAUGUUUGUAUAAAUACCUGCUGUCACGAUUGCAACUCCACUUGUGUUUCUAACCAGUGACGACAACAACAUUUCUAAGAUGAUCGUGGAGAAACUUCUCCUCACCAUCUACAGCUUGGUGAUUCUGAGUGUCUGCAACCUCGGUCAAGCUUCCCCAGAAAAAGAUCCAAACAAAAAGGAUCCUGAGGUCCGUAAAUCAUUGGAAAAGCGCAAUUUGAGAGACUACAACUAUUAUCAUCAUGGAUAUGAUCACCACUAUCCACCUGUGCUUAUGGGACCACCUGGACCGCCUGGAUCAUU
Long non-coding RNA from Oryzias melastigma (Indian medaka), 412 nucleotides. RefSeq lists it as uncharacterized. The record is from RefSeq and is a predicted model, not a curated record. NCBI's taxonomy places the organism in Eukaryota, Metazoa, Chordata, Actinopteri, Beloniformes, Adrianichthyidae. The transcript is spliced from 3 exons.